This 72-nucleotide transfer RNA is filed under the name bacterium. Its description in RNAcentral is "tRNA-Phe". It matches the Rfam family "tRNA". From Rfam's summary of the family: Transfer RNA (tRNA) molecules are approximately 80 nucleotides in length. Their secondary structure includes four short double-helical elements and three loops (D, anti-codon, and T loops). Further hydrogen bonds mediate the characteristic L-shaped molecular structure. tRNAs have two regions of fundamental functional importance: the anti-codon, which is responsible for specific mRNA codon recognition, and the 3' end, to which the tRNAs corresponding amino acid is attached (by aminoacyl-tRNA synthetases). tRNAs cope with the degeneracy of the genetic code in two manners: having more than one tRNA (with a specific anti-codon) for a particular amino acid; and 'wobble' base-pairing, i.e. permitting non-standard base-pairing at the 3rd anti-codon position. The record is from RNAcentral.
GCCUGGGUAGCUCAAUGGUAGAGCAUGCGCCUGAAAAGCGCAGGGUUGUGGGUUCGAUUCCCUCCCUAGGCA